Eriocheir sinensis (Chinese mitten crab) is the source of this 7260-nucleotide RNA transcript. It is a transcript of the gene named serine protease filzig-like, with no coding region annotated. The transcript is spliced from 9 exons. The record is from RefSeq and is a predicted model, not a curated record. Lineage: Eukaryota; Metazoa; Arthropoda; Malacostraca; Decapoda; Varunidae.
UUACUACCGCAUUGAAACUCCCCAAAGAUCACUACUUCUUCUAGCAUUUAAAUCCCCCGCCCCAGUGAUGUCACCAAUGACCUAUAUUCUCUCAAGGACGGAUCACCCAGCUUGUCAAACGCCUCAAUAGGUUCUCAUCUCUCCCUUCCUUUUCCCUUAUACUGCGCCAACUUCCAUGGGUGUGAGGAUGAGGGAAGGUCAGGUAAAGGGUGUAAGGGGGUGUGGGCGUGGGUGUGGGGUGCGUGCGGGCGCGGGGAGGGCGUGGAAAGGGCGGGGAGAUGAGGGCUAUGGUGAGGGUUGGUAGCUGUGUGGGUUUGAGACUUAGCGGUACUUGUGAACGGCCGCGGGAAAGUGAGUGUGUGUGUGUGUGUGUGUGUGUGUGUGUGUGUGUGUUGGGGUAUACAUAUAUGUGUGUGUAUGUAUGCUUAUGUGUAUGAAUAUCUUAUCCUCCUCAGCUUCCUCCCUUUCCUCCCUUCCUUCCUUCAAUCCCCGUCUCUUUUCUCCCCGUUUUCUUCUCCCUCUCUCUCUCUCUUUCAGCUUUCCCGUCUCGCUUGCUCGCUCUCUCCCUCCUCCUCCUCCUCCUCCGCCUCCUCCUCCUCCUCCUCCUCCUCCUGUGUGCAUCUCUUCUCUCCCACAGCCACAGUUUCCACAGGUUGGCUUGUCUUGGUCCAUUUCCCUCACGGCUGUGUUCUGUCACGCCGUCAGGGGAGGCAGAGGCUAUAUGUCUGUCUGUGUCUGUGUGUCCGGCGUACUGUAGGUCGGUCAGCUGGUCUGGUCUCCCUGGUCCCCUCUGCUCCUCCUCCUCCUCCUCAGUCGAACUCAGACAGUGACACAGUGAGGAUGUACGCCGCGAAUCGCUCCUGACCAGACUACUCGAUGCCUUGCUCUGUUUCCUUGCCGUGUGAUAUGUUGAAGUGAAUGUCGAAUCCGAAAUCAAAGGAAAAGGAUUGGGACUUCUUGAGGCUUACCUACGGCCUUACCAAGCCUCUCUGACCCCAUACGCCCUUGUUAGCUAAGGCAGGUCCUCCCCAGUGCCUGUUUGAACCCCCUUUCUCCUGUAUUUUUGUGUUUGUCUGUUGGUCUGUUUGUCUGAUCUCAUGAAGAGGCCCAGAACGCUUUGGUAGCAUUUCGCAUCUUCGUGUGUGUGUGUGUGUGUGUGCGUGCGUGUGCGUGCCCCUCGUCUGGUGCCCCUCCCCGUGCCCAUGGUUCUUCAGGUUCAUGCCGCCCCCCUCUGCGCCCCCCUCGCCAGUUGUAAGCAGGUGCUGAUGGCUCAUUGGCUGAUGCUGACGAUAGCCCUGCUCCUGCCGCCCCCGCCACACGCCGCCGCCGCCCGCGUCCUCCCCCGCAGCCUGGGCCUUUACGGCACGACUUUUGGUCUCAGCAACGACAGGCGCCUCAAGAUCGAGCCCCGGGGAUGUGAUGUACCGGGCGGCCAGCAGGGGGUCGCGGCGGGGGGCGUGGGAGAGGUGCGGGGGCUCUGUAUGUUCAACUUCGAGUGUUUCCAACGGGGCGGCAAAGUGGUGGGCGCCUGCAUUGAUGGGUUCCUCUUCGGGGCCUGUUGUGUGAUGCCUCUGGAAGGGGGUGAAGAAGGAGGAGGAGGAGGAGGUGGUGUGCUAAGAGAUGAUGUGAAAGAAGAAGAAGGAAAUGGAGAAGAAGCAGAAGGAGGAGGAGGAACUAGUGAUGUUAGAAUAAAGGAAGACGAGGAGAAGGAGGAAGAGGAGAAGGUGGAGGAAGAGAACGUGAAGGAAGAAAAGAAGGGAGUACCAGAAAAAGCAGAAGUAGGAGGAGGUGGAGAAGGAAAUGGAGUAGAGAAAAACACCACUACCACCACCACUACCUCCACCACCACCACCUCCACCACCUCCACCUCCACCACCACCAAACCCUCAAAUAACAGUGGUGAUGAAGCCGUGGUAAUGAACGGUGAUACCAGCCCAACACCAACACCAUACCACACAGACAUCGAACACACCACUACAGAAAACCCACAACAGCCCGAUAACCUCGCUACGACCCUUCCUCCUGACGACCUCCAGACCGAACCAGUGCCAGUCAUGACCUUUCCCGAUGACCUAGAAGGGAUGACCACUCUGCAGAUGCCAGGAUUUGACGUCACGGAUGAGUCCCUUAAGGAUAUUGAAGAGAAUCCUACGUCUUCUACUUCUUCGGGGUCUUCGUCAGUUGGUAUAAGUCUCAGUAGCCAUAGGACCUCACGGAGACCUCAAGCAACCACGCCUAUGUCUACUGGGUCAUCCACGUCCUCGUCAUCCACGCCGUCUCCUCCAGUCAUCCAUCUUCUGACCUCUGAUUCCGCCACCCCCAAACCGGUUGAUAUUUUAAUGGAAACUAAUUUUAAUAUGUCGAUUCUCCGCUCUCCUGAUGAUGACGAGGAUGAGGUUAGGACGAGUACGACUCCUACGACGACUGAGUUUACCAGAUCGACGUUCCAACCACGACCUGAGAUGUUCCAACCAAGACCAGGGAUGGUUACAACGACAGAUGCGACUUACGACCAAUACCUCGCAGAUACGACCACUACGACUACCUCAAAGCCUCCACGACUACCUGAACGGCAUACGACAGCCUCCACGACUUCUCCGGGUAGUUUCGUGACCCCUACGCCGCCUACGACCACUGAAACGACCACGGACGAUGAAAUGCUGAUAUGGACGUUAGCACCUCAGACUCCGAUACUCGAGAUACGACCACACACCAUACCCACGACUACGACUACAACUGAGGACGGCGAAAACGACAAUCAGGACGACUCUCUCCUCAUCUGGACGCUCUCCCCGCAGCCUCCAAUCUUAGACGCACGACCCCAAACGACAGCACCGGAUAAGGACGACCCAAUGGCGUUCUGGACGACUAGACGACCAACCACGAGGAAUCCAGAAUCAGAGGAACCGCAAAUGAUAUGGACGACGAUCACUACGACUUCGCCACGACCAGAGGGGACACAUGACGACGACGACUUGUACCUUGAGCCUGCGGUCGUACCUGGCGAUGUUCUGCAGCAUAUCACAGGGGACUUACUUGAACGACACCCCAACUCAACGACUCCUGGGUUUAGUACGACCAGGAAUACGACCACGCGACCCUGGGCCUCCUCAACCUACCCCAUACACACGAUCCAAUACCCCGAACCACACGACAACACGAUUUACGACCCUCAAAAUGUACCGACCACCACUACGACCACUACGACCACUACGACCCCCACUACGACCCGCAUUACGACCACUAGGAGACCGAAACCUCAUAGAAAGCGGAAAACUACCACUACUACCACCACUACGACCACUACCACCACCCCCCGCCCCCCACCCACCACCGAGCCCCCUAUCUCCCCCAUCGAUCAAUUUAUUGUGGACUUCAUCAACUCUUCACCACCCGAGGAAGAAUUCACCACCACCACCGCCUCCCCCUCCCCCUCCUCCUCCUCCUCCUCUUCCUCCUCCUCCUCCUUUUCCACGCCUGAUCCUCCUCCUCCAAUUGAUCUCCAGCUACUGACACAGCUGUUCAACCUGACCAACUUUGUCCCGGGCGAGGAGGUGCUCUUCCCCCCCCUCCCCUCCCUCAACCCCCCCACCACCACCACGACCAGACGACCCCCUCCCACCAUGACCACCAGGAGACCGUCACGUCCUCGCCCACGACCACCACGACCGACCUCUCCAAGCAUACGACUACCACUCUUGACCACCACCCAGCCCACGACUACCACCACUACUACUACGACUACCACUACGACUACUACUACGACUACUACGACCCCGACUACGACACGUCACUGGGAUUACAGGAAGACGUGUGGGGUGAGGCCGUUGGCGAGGGAGGGGCGCAUCGUGAACGGGGAGCUGAGUGAGUACGCGGAGUGGCCGUGGCAAGCCCUGGUCAAAGAGUCGACUUGGUUGGGCAUUUUCACCAAGAACAAGUGCGGCGGUGUGCUGCUCAACCGGCGAUAUGUGCUGACGGCCGCCCACUGCCAGCCCGGCUUCCUCGCCUCCCUCAUCGUCGUGUUGGGGGAGUACGACCUCUCCGACGACUACGAGCCUAAGAGUGUCGUGCAGCGGAACGUGAAGAGGGUGGUCGUUCACAGGGGCUACGUGGCUAAGACCUUCGACAACGACCUGGCCUUGCUCGAGAUGGAACGACCCGUCUCCUUUGAUGAACAUAUCGUGCCAAUCUGCCUUCCGGAGGGACAUGACGACUACGUGGGCAGUAUGGGCUUCGUGACGGGAUGGGGCAGGCUGUCCUAUGGAGGCCCCGUGCCCGCCAAGCUGAACGAGGUGGCGCUGCCCAUCAUUGAGAACAACGAGUGCCAGCGGUGGUUCAAUCAGGCCGGCCACGCCAAGAACAUCAAACCCGAGUUCUUCUGCGCCGGCUACAAGGAUGGGAAGAAGGACUCGUGUGAGGGUGACAGCGGCGGGCCCUUGUCGGUAAGAGGACCUGACGGGCGUUGGGUGCUGGCGGGGACGGUCUCGCACGGCAUCAAGUGUGCCUACCCCAACCUGCCCGGCGUAUAUAUGCGGAUGACGUACUACCGGCCCUGGAUAAGGAGUAUAAUCAAUUGACGACGGAGACUGUAUAGGUAAAUUUAGGAGUGUCUACCGUAGUACUGUCUGUAAGGGAGUAGGAAGUUGUUGUUGGCGUUUUGUAUAUGUAAAUUUUGGAGUGUGUCUGCCCUAGUACUGUCUGUAAGGGAGUGGGAAGUUGAUAUUGGAGUUUUGUAUAUGUAAAUUCAGGAGUGUGUCUGCCGUUGUGUUGUAUGUAGUGUUGUUUCUAAGAGUAUAAUUAACUAUGUGGCUGUAUAGGAGCUUGUAUAUGUAACUUUAGGGUAUAUGUGUGUUGUAAUUUGAGAAAGGGAUGUUGCUGUACUUGUUUGUGUAGAUAUUCGAUUUGUUAGUGUGUUUCUGUGUGGGUCGCUUGCUGUAGUGAUUCCGUUUGUGUUGUAAGAGUAUAUAUAUAUAAAUGACAUUGAAGUUUGUAUAGGUAUUCAUAGGGUGUGUGUCGUGUGUUGUACUUGUGUUGUGUGUGUAGGGGUUCUGUGUUGUACUUGUGUUGUGUAGAUGCUUGAUUCCUCAGUGUGGUUCAUUUAGUAUGUUGUUUGUUUGUACUAAAGGUAAUGUGUUGUGUGUGUGAGUGUGUGUGUGUGUGUGUUGAGACAAGAUUAGUGUGUGUAAUUAGACUGUAAGUAUUGGUAUCAUGUAUAUUGCUGUAGUAGUAGUAGUAGUAGUAGUAGUAGUGAGGGUAUUGCAGUAAAUGAUGAUGAUGAUGAUGAUGAUGAAAGGGCUGUUGUUGUUGUUGUUAUUGUUAUAGUGCUGUUGUUACCAUGUGUUGUAUUAUGUUGUGAAGUAUUACCAAUCAGGGUGUAUUACUGUUAUUAUUAUUAUUAUUAUUAUUAUUAUUAUUAUUAUUAUUAUUAUUAUUAUUAUUAUUAUUAUUAUUAUUAUUAUUAUUAUUAUUAUCAUUUUUAUUUAUUUUUUGGACAUUUAUAUAUACCCUUUCCUUGCUCAGGUGUGUGUAUGUGUGUGUGUGUGUGUGUGUGUGUGUGUGUGUGUGUGUGUGUGAGGAAAAACAAACUGAAUAUAGACAAAAUAAAACUCAAUACUACAAUGAAUAAGAAAAAAAGAAAAAAAAACAUUGUAUAGAGAAAGUAAAAAAAAAUAAUGCAGAGAAAUUGCAAUGAAAGUGAAAGAUAAUGAUGAUGACGAUGAUAGUGAGACCGUGACAAUGAAGAUGGUGUGUGUGUGUGUGUGUGUGUGUGUGUUAGUGCGUGUGUUGGUGUUGUGGAAAGCUUAAAAAAAAAAGGAAAAAAAUGUGAAGGAAAGAUAAAAGCGUAGAAACCCAUUGAGGAGAAAGUUUGUGAAGAGAAAUGACUUAGAGGAAUGUUGAGAAUAGAAGAAAGGAAAGUAGAAGAGAAGAAUGAAGAGGAGGAAGAAGGAAGGAGAAGAAGAGUAAGAGAAGGAAGAAGGGAAGAAAGAAGAUUAUAGUGUGUUGAGGAGAAAGUGUGUGAAGAGAAACGCCUUAGAGGAAUGUUGAGAAUAGAAGAGAGAAAGGUAGAAGAGAAGAAUGAAGAGAAAGAAGAAGAGUAAAGAAGGAAGAAGCAAAGAAAGAAGAUUAUAAUGUGUUGAGGAGAAAGUGUGUGAAGAGAAACGCCUUAGAGGAAUGUUGAGAAUAGAAGAGAGAAAGGUAGAAGAGAAGAGUGAAGAGAAGGAAGAAGGAAGGAGAAGAAGAGUAAAGGGAGAAGCGAAGAAAGAAGAUUAUAAUGUGUUGAGGAGAAAGUGUGUGAAGAGAAACGCCUUAGAGGAAUGUUGAGAAUAGAAGAGAGAAAGGUAGAAGAGAAAGAAGAAGGAAGGAGAAGAAGAGUAAAGAAGGAAGAAGCAAAGAAAGAAGAUUAUAAUGUGUUGAGGAGAAAGUGUGUGAAGAGAAACGCCUUAGAGGAAUGUUGAGAAUAGAAGAGAGAAAGGUAGAAGAGAAAGAAGAAGGAAGGAGAAGAAGAGUAAAGGGAGAAGCGAAGAAAGAAGAUUAUAAUGUGUUGAGGAGAAAGUGUGUGAAGGGAAACGCCUGAGAAGAAUGUGGAAUAGAGAGGAAAGUAUAAAAAGGAAGAGUGAUAAAGAGGAAGAGGAUGGAGAAGAGUAAAAGAGGAAGAAGCAAAAGAAAAAAAGAAGAUAAAAGAGAGUAAAAGGAAAAUUAAUUGAUAAAUGAAGGAAAGAGAAGAAUUUAAGUGUUAUAAUAAAUUGAAAAAAAUAUAGAUGUGUGAUUUAAAGAAGACCAACACACUACUACUACUACUACUACUACUACUACUACUACUACUACUACUACUACUACUACUACUACUACUACUGCUACUCCUACUACUACUACUACUACUACUACUACUACCACUACAAUUACUACUACUACAAUUACUACUACUACUACUACUACAGUUACUACUACUACUUUCCUCUUGAUGUUCCGAAAGAUAAUUGGCAUUUCUCUUCUUUUUCUUUUCUUUUUAUUUCUUUUUUUUCUUUUCUUAAGUUUGAGAAAGAGCAACAAAGUUCGGAAAGGAAGUUUGUCGGUAAAAAUUUGAAGAGAGAGAGAGAGAGAGAGAGAGAGAGAGAGAGAGAGAGAGAGAGAGAGAGAGAGAGGAAAAAAGUAGUAAUAGUAGUAGUAGUAGUGAUGUCCGUGUGUGUGUGUGUGUGUGUGUGUCCAUGUUGUAUUAUACCUUCUCAAUCUUCAAAUGGAAAAAAUAAAAUAAAAAAUAGA